RNAcentral lists this ribosomal RNA (555 nucleotides) under uncultured Bacillus sp. RNAcentral describes it as "bacterial SSU rRNA". It matches the Rfam family "Bacterial small subunit ribosomal RNA", at positions 28 to 561 of the family's 1533-position model. Lineage: Bacteria; Bacillati; Bacillota; Bacilli; Caryophanales; Bacillaceae. The record is from RNAcentral.
GACGAACGCUGGCGGCGUGCCUAAUACAUGCAAGUCGAGCGGACCAAUAGAAAAGCUUGCUUUUCUUGAGGUUAGCGGCGGACGGGUGAGUAACACGUGGGCAACCUACCUGUAAGACUGGGAUAACUUACGGAAACGUGAGCUAAUACCGGAUAGUUUCACUUCUCGCAUGAGAAGUGAAGGAAAGAUGGCUUUUAGCUAUCACUUACAGAUGGGCCCGCGGCGCAUUAGCUAGUUGGUGGGGUAAAGGCCUACCAAGGCAACGAUGCGUAGCCGACCUGAGAGGGUGAUCGGCCACACUGGGACUGAGACACGGCCCAGACUCCUACGGGAGGCAGCAGUAGGGAAUCUUCCGCAAUGGACGAAAGUCUGACGGAGCAACGCCGCGUGAGCGAAGAAGGUCUUCGGAUCGUAAAGCUCUGUUGUUAGGGAAGAACAAGUACCGGAGUAACUGUCGGUACCUUGACGGUACCUAACCAGAAAGCCACGGCUAACUACGUGCCAGCAGCCGCGGUAAUACGUAGGUGGCAAGCGUUGUCCGGAAUCAUUGGGCGU